Molecule: ribosomal RNA, 197 nt
Filed under: uncultured bacterium
Lineage: Bacteria
Description: partial 16S ribosomal RNA
Rfam family: Bacterial small subunit ribosomal RNA
Source: RNAcentral
ACGCUCGACACCUACGGGAGCAGCAGUGGGGAAUAUUGCACAAUGGGGGAAACCCUGAUGCAGCGACGCCGCGUGAGCGAAGAAGUAUCUCGGUAUGUAAAGCUCUAUCAGCAGGGAAGAAGAUGACGGUACCUGACUAAGAAGCACCGGCUAAAUACGUGCCAGCAGCCACGGUAAUCUGAGCGGGCUGGCAAGGC